RNAcentral lists this transfer RNA (66 nucleotides) under Marmota monax (woodchuck). RNAcentral describes it as "tRNA.Ala". Lineage: Eukaryota; Metazoa; Chordata; Mammalia; Rodentia; Sciuridae. The record is from RNAcentral.
GCUGGGGCUCAGUGGCAGAGCGCUUGCCUAGCACGUGGGAGGCCCUGGGUCCGAUCCCCAGCACCA